UAGAGCGGCGGACGGGUGAGUAACACGUGGACAAUCUGCCCCCCGGCCCGGGAUAGCCCAGGGAAACCUGGAUUAAUACCGGAUGAGACGGGACCCGCGAAGGCGGGACCCGGGAAAGGCGCUAGCGGCGCCGCCGGGGGGAUGACGUCUGCGUCCCAUUAGCUAGACGGCGGGGUAACGGCCCACCGUGGCGACGAUGGGUAGCCGGCCUGAGAGGGUGGACGGCCACAUUGGAACUGAGACACGGUCCAGACUCCUACGGGAGGCAGCAGCUAAGAAUCUUCCGCAAUGGGCGAAAGCCUGACGGAGCGAACCGCCGCGUGAACGAAGAAGGCCGUGAGGUUGUAAAGUUCUUUUCGGGAGGGGGAACAACCGUGGCAGGGGAAUGGCCGCGGGAUGACGUGAAUCCCGGAAUAACGCCCCGGCUAACUACGUGCCAGCCGCGGC
This 447-nucleotide ribosomal RNA is filed under the name uncultured bacterium. RNAcentral's name for it is "bacterial SSU rRNA". It matches the Rfam family "Bacterial small subunit ribosomal RNA", at positions 91 to 518 of the family's 1533-position model. The record is from RNAcentral.